AAUUUAUUUCACACUCCCUCCUUUUUUCCCCCAAACCUAAAAACAUCCGCCUUAAUACUCCGCCUAAUCGACUCCCCCUUAACUCUCUCUCCGCCUAACAGAGAAAAAGAAGAAGAAAUUAAGUCCAAAAUCACGUUAGAUUGAAAUCCAACGUUAACAGCAAACUGCUUCAUAGAUUGAAAUCCAAAAUCAAUUCACGUUGAAAUCCCUUAACACUUCCGCCUAAUUGAAAUCUCCCUAAAUCUCCUUCCAGGUACUGCUGAAGUAUCAUCCAUCUUCAAAGUUGGUUCUGAUUCUCAUCGUGUACAGAAGUCUCAUUUCUGUUUUAUGACCAUUGAGGAAGUUGCACGGGAACCAAAGAUGAGAUUAAGGAUAAUGUUUCGGUAGUAUUUCUCGGGAUUAAUGGACUUCCUUUGUGAACUACCGUUAUAAAGAAGAAACUCAGAUGACUGAGACAGGGAGAAAGCCUGGACGAGCACAACUUUAUCUUGCUACACAUUCGAGAAAAGAUGGAUCAUAUGUAAAUGAGGAGGCGUAAGAAAUAUGUCCAAGUGAUGCAGCUAGUGGACCCGUUUUACUGACGGAUGCAAGAUCUUCUGGCGCUAGUAAUUCCAGUGACAACCAUUGAGAUUCAUUUUAAUUGAAGUGGAUGUAUUAUGACAAUGUAAUAGCUGACUAAUAUAGACGGUUAACUAUGUUCUAAUUUAGCUUGAUGACAUAUAAUACUACUCUGUCAUAGUAUUUUUCACGGUUAAUGAAAUGUUGAUGUUUCUUAAUUUUAA
This is a long non-coding RNA of Nicotiana tabacum (common tobacco), 782 nucleotides long. RefSeq lists it as uncharacterized. The record is from RefSeq and is a predicted model, not a curated record. Lineage: Eukaryota; Viridiplantae; Streptophyta; Magnoliopsida; Solanales; Solanaceae.